ACUGGAACUGAGACACGGUCCAGACUCCUACGGGAGGCAGCAGUGAGGAAUUUUCCGCAAUGGGCGAAAGCCUGACGGAGCAAUACCGCGUGAGGGAUGAAUGCCUUCGGGUUGUAAACCUCUUUUUUCAAGGAGGAAGUUCUGACGUGUACUUGAAGAAUAAGCAUCGGCUAACUCCGUGCCAGCAGCCGCGGUAAUACGGAGGAUGCAAGUGUUAUCCGAAAUUAUUGGGCGUAAAGAGUCUGUAGGUGGCUUUCAAAGUCUGAUGUUAAAUGUCAGGGCUUAACCCUGAACCUGCAUUAGAAACUAGUAAGCUUGAGUAGAGUCGAAGUAGAAGGAAUUUCCAGUGAAGCGGUGAAAUGCGUAGAUAUUGGAAGGAACACCAAUGGCGAAAGCAUUCUACUAGGCUCUUACUGACACUGAGAGACGAAAGCUAGGGUAGCAAAUGGGAUUAGAUACCCCAGUAGUCCUAGCUGUAAACGAUGGAUACUAAACAUUGCGUGCAUCGAUCCGCGUGGUGUUAUAGCUAACGCGUUAAGUAUCCCGCCUGGGGAGUACGCUCGCAAGGGUGAAACUUAAAGGAAUUGACGGGGGCCCGCACAAGCGGUGGAGCAUGUGGUUUAAUUUGAUGCAACGCGAAGAACCUUACCAGGGUUUGACAUAGUGUUAAUUCUUUGAAAGAAGAAGUGCUUCGGCAGACACAUACAGGUGGUGCAUGGCUGUCGUCAGCUCGUGUCGUGAGAUGUUGGGUUAAGUCCC
This 759-nucleotide ribosomal RNA is filed under the name marine metagenome. RNAcentral's name for it is "bacterial SSU rRNA". It matches the Rfam family "Bacterial small subunit ribosomal RNA", at positions 312 to 1088 of the family's 1533-position model. The record is from RNAcentral.